Non-coding RNA from Phascolarctos cinereus (koala), 69 nucleotides. Lineage: Eukaryota; Metazoa; Chordata; Mammalia; Diprotodontia; Phascolarctidae. The record is from Ensembl.
GAGAAAGUUAUAGAGGUUAUAGGGUUGACUUGAAAUCAACUUUGGGAGGUUCAAUUCCUUCCUUUCUUG